This is a non-coding RNA of Xyrichtys novacula (pearly razorfish), 4878 nucleotides long. The record is from the annotation of a GenBank genome assembly. Lineage: Eukaryota; Metazoa; Chordata; Actinopteri; Labriformes; Labridae.
GCUGAUCUCGUUUUCCCCUUAAACUGGCUAUCUAAGUGAACUAUCCCUAAUCAUCAAAUAAGACACUCAAGCCCUUUUCUCAUAUUCAGCACUUACAGACAAGUGUGCAGACAUCUUUGCUGCUCUCUUUUUCAGGGAUCCAUCAGGUUGACUUCGGUUCAAAACACUCCAUACUCUCUGCAGUGUCUUUACCUCCAGCUGAAACACUAGUGCAGAUGGAGUGAAUCAACAUGCCGUGGUUCGCCUCAGUGGACAGAGGAGGCAGACGCUCUUUAACAACAUCCCGCACGUUUUCUUUUUUGUUCUACAUUUUUCAUCCUCCUGUAAAAGUUAUGCUCCCCUCUGAGGUCUUUGUGUUGUUUCUCUGCAGAGACUUGGAGACAACCUCCUGACAUCCCAGGGCUUUCAUGAAUGGUAAGUUAUUCCCCACUGAGGUCCAUUACCCACGCUGGAGAUAAAGUAGUUGACUUUAAGUGGGUCUUUGACUCUCAGAUACUUUCUCCUCCAGAGGGAUUUCACUCUGGAGACUGAAGAGAAAACCUCCCUGGUUGGAAAGAGGAAAGACAGUAAUGGGAGAAUCAAUCUCUGAGAGCUAUUCUUUAGAUUCAUCUUUUAUCGCAAUAUUAAUAUUUGAAAGGUUUUAAGACAUUCAUUAUGUUCAUGUUAGACUGAGCACAUUCAGUUUGUUUUGCUCCACGAACAGUCAAUGUCUGUUAUUUUUAGCUUCAAUUUUCUCUUUCUUUUCAGUACAGCAGCAUAGUUCAUAAUAAAGUGAGCACUUUGUGUAUUAGGAUACAGGUUACUCUGUUCUUUCCAGGAGGCUGAUUUCCUAAAUGUAAAUGAAGGGCGUGGUUUCUGCAGUGCAGCUUCAGAAUUUGAGGAACCUGAAUAUACGAGCUCUGAAAAGUCAUGAUGGCUUGGGCUAGCGCAUCUGUCUGGCAUGUACCAUAAUUAGGCUGAUUCAGAUAAAGUAGACCUGUUAUACUUGCUCUUGUCCUGUUUAUCAGACAUGCAGAAUAAAUAAUGUCACAAUGGUGUAAUGUAUCCCACUGCUUUCCCUCAGGGACUCUCAGGGAUCCUUCUGCUUUCAGGUCUCCAUCACUUUCCUCAGUUGGAAACUUUCUGGACUUGCUGACAUCAGGAUUUCUAUCUGUCUGUCUGCAUGAGAAGGUUUGUCAGACUGCUGUGCAAGAACAUCCCUGUUUCCUCCAGCUGUGAAUGCACUUCAGACACUUCAUGGGGUUAUAAAACUGCUCUGCUUUAAUAAUGAACAGUAACUGAAGUCUCAUCUAUGAAAUGCAGCACAUAGAAACUCCCUCAGUGCACGGAAAAUUAACUGAUUCAAAUGGACCUCAUGCUGACACUCUUCAUAUGCAAUAUAACUGCAAAGAGAGCUAUAACUUAAUAGUAAUGAGCCAUCAUGACUUUCCUUAGCUGUUGGAAUCAACCUGUAGGUGGUUUCAAAUCAGUGUUGUACAUGAACCCACUAAAAUGAAUGCAUUCACUGAGCAUACUCAUGUUUUUAUGAACUGAGACAUGAGCCUACUUCACUCUAGAGGAUUGAGAGCUGCAGAAAAUCUUCAAGCAUCAUGUCAAGCCAGCUUUCCAAAUGCUGCAGAAAUGUGCAUAAUAAAUUUGUGUUCUGCAAACUGGUUGCAGAAGAUCUUGUUUGCAUACUUGUGCAAAGUAAAAACAGAAUUUGCAAAAGCAUGAUUUACUCUGGGGAUACUCUACUGAAAGCGUGCGUGCAGAACUAACUCUAUGUGGUUUCUGCUCAGCUGGUGAUUUGCACCAGAAACUUUCUUGCACUGAAGCUCAUGGGCGUAGUUGUGGGGGGAGAAGUGGACCUGACUACCCAGGGCCUGAGUGGGGAGAGGGGAUCCAUGAAAAUCCAGAUUUUCUUUGGUGAUGUUUUUAUUUUGAAUGAACUGGGCCCUCCAAUUAAUUGGUGUCAUAAUGUAUUUCAAAUAUAUUGAUAACAUUAACUGAGAGAAUGAACUUUUGGUCACAGUACUCCUAACAUAUUGGACACUCUGGGGGCCCCCUCUUGGAGGUGCAAAAUAGUUUAGUUUGCCCGACAGCGACUGGCGACAAGUGUAACAUCAGUGAGCCCAGAUUGAAUGACCUGGGGGUUAGACAUCAUGCUGCCCUAAAAGCAUAAAUUGGGGUAUGAAAAGAAGAAAGAGAGGAAAGAAAAAGAAAGAAUAAGGGGAGGCAGCUGUUGACUGCUUUCUUUCCCAAAGGUGAACCCAGUUUACUUGUUAUAAGUCUGAUUAAAGUUAACGUAGGAGCGCCAAAAGAAAACUCCUCCUCCAUCUUCUCUGCUGCAGCUUCAGCUCUGCGUCUUCAUCUACAUGUCGCCUGAUCCUGUGGAUUUAAAGUAGACCCCAUCUCUACAUCUAAUGCAUCUGUUUCCUCAUCCACCAGUCCACCUGACCGCUACCUGCUCACCUGUGCGUCUGUCCCCCUCAGUGUCUCCCUCAGCUUCACCUCUAAAUGAACAGGCUCUAAUCAGAUGGCUCCUACAUUACAGACAUUUUUUAUUUUCUGAGGUGACAUUAAUGUCAGACAGUCAAAGUCAUCAACCCUCAGAUUACACCAGAUUAAGCUCCUGGUUCCUCUUGUUUAGGAUCAUUAAGACCAAACAUCCGUGAGAGACCACAUGGCUCAGGUGGGACCAUUGGAGAAGAUCACCUUUCUGGACGGCAGAGAAAGAGGAGACACAGAUUAGAGAAAAGAUUAUGACAAGGGUAGACCGAGAAUAAACAACGAGCACAAACCAAACAACACAUAAAGAAAGAAAACAAGUUAGAAAAUCUAACGUAAGAGAGAGAGAGAGAGUUUAUAUGUGGUGUAUAUUUAAAUAUGUGUGGAUUAUAUAAGGAUAAAAUAGUGGAAGUCUUUCCAUGAGGUUUAUAUGAGGUGAAUAAAUGUUGGUGCAGUUGAUCUUCAGGACCGCUGCAGCUUUAAUAACCUCUGCUUGUAGGAGUUUGAGAGUCUAAAGUUCACCUCGCCGCUUCUCUUCCUUGAUUAUACAAAAGCUGGUUUCCCCUCUCUCAUCUCUCACACAGCACACUCCACUCUGCACACUCACUUCCUGGUUCCCCUUCCAAGUGUAAUGUCAGUGAGCCCAGAUUGAAUGACCUGGGGGUUAGACAUCAUGCUGCCCUAAAAGCAUAAAUCGGGGUAUGAAAAGAAGAAAGAGAGGAAAGAAAAAGAAAGAAUAAGGGGAGGCAGCUGUUGACUGCUUUCUUUCCCAAAGGUGAACCCAGUUUGCUUGUCCUGCAAAGUCCAAUUAAAGUUAACAUAGUCCACUCCAGACAGCUGCUGCUGAUGUUUGUAUGCUCACAUGAAGUCUUCAACUUAGCUAGUUGCAGAGCUUUUUUCGCCACUGACCACAGGUCGGUUUUUUAACGUCGAUUAAUACCUUAAGACUGAGGUCCUCGCCUCCAUGCCAAAUAUUUAAAAAGUGAACCCAUUUGCAAUAAUUUUGUAUGAUCAAAUUUAGGUAGUUACCUACCAUCUGUCUUCAGGAGAGCAGGAGAGCAUCGAGUGGGUUUUAAAUGUUGGCGCUGUUGUGUGUGAAAGAUAGUUAGAGACGCCAAGACCCGCCUUACGUUGCUUCUGAUCUGCUUAUAUUGUGUGGUGCCUUCUGUGGUUGGUUAGAUUUAGGCACAAAGGACUGAUGGAUUGGUCUGGGAUUGGUUAUCUCAGUCAGUCAAUCAGGUACUUGAACUAUGGCAAGCCAAGUUUAUUAUUAUGAAAAAAAUUAAUACAGAGUAUUGAAUUCGGAAAUAUAAGUGUGAAAAAUGUCAAGUGUGGCGUGUGGUGUGAAAAUGGGUCAAAUUGUGUGACUGUCACACCUAAAGCGUGAGACUUGGCAGCUCUGCUAGUAAUAUAUUCAUUGAGCAAUAAAGCAGUUGAUUAUUUGUGUCUGGUAAAAAGCCCCUACAUUCACUGUAAAACCUGAUGAGUAAGUUCAACUCAAAUGAUUUGAGGAAACCGAUUGCCUUGAAUCAUUUAAGUUUAUUAACUCAUAAUUUUUAAGUAUGAAAAAACACUUAAUUUAAGUUCAAGUAACUUAAAUAUUAAAAGCUAUGUUUACUUGGUCACAAGUUCAUCUUUUUAAUGCAAUUGAUUUAUUAAAAAUAGAAUCCUUUAUUAUUUUAUACUCAUAUGAAUCAUUUUUCUACACCCAUUACUUAAACUAAUCUAGUCCAUACAAAUGCAACCUUUGAGUUGCACGUACUCAGUCUUCCACUGCAGCAAAUUAUUGGAUUCUAGUUAAAACAACUUAUGGCUACUCAAUUCAAAUGAGGAAACCAAUUGCCUUAAAGGUGGGGUAGGCAGGAAUUCAUUAAAGAAGCAUAUUUUUUGUGAUGUAUAUACAAAAAAAACUUUUAAUAUCAGUCAAUAGCUAUUAGUCAUUGAUGACAUUUGGAAACAUAACGAUAUCGAUGUGUUUUAUGUCUGUGUAGUCAACAUUUUAAAAUUUCAGAGAGCUCCGCUAUUUCUGACUGUAAACAAAGCCAUUCCCCGCCUCCCCCAACCUGAUUGGUUGUGAGGCCAAUUAAUGCAUCUGAUGCAUUAAUUAAUGCAUCAGACUUCAUAUAGUGCUUUAUCAGAAACCCUCAAGCACUUUACAUUGGAUACAUCAUUCAUUCACUCACACAGUCACUUCUUAGUGGUUGUAAACUACCUUCCCACUGAGCGAUAGACGGCUAUUAGACAUCUUGUUUUUUUUUUUAGACCUAAUUUCAACCGUCUAGAUUCUGUACAUUUUUAGACGGAAUUUAGACGUUGCACUUUAAUUCGAUAACUAUUUAUCUCAAAAAGCAACAGUGAGUUGCAUAACUGAUCUCCAAGUACUUACCCAAA